AGUUUCCAUGUCGUACUCCAAUAUAACGAGUUGCUCUUUGACGUUAGCGGCGGACGGGUGAGUAACACGUGGGCAACCUACCUUAUAGUUUGAUAACUCCGGGAAACCGGGGCUAAUACCGAAUAAUCUGUUUCACCUCAUGGUGAAACAUUGAAAGACGGUUUCGCUGUCGCUAUAGGAUGGGCCCGCGGCGCAUUAGCUAGUUGGUGAGGUAACGGCUCACCAAGGCGACGAUGCGUAGCCGACCUGAGAGGGUGAUCGCCACACUGGGACUGAGACACGGCCCAGACUCCUACGGAGGCAGCAUGGGAAUCUUCCACAAUGGGCGAAAGCCUGAUGGAGCAACGCCGCUGAAGUGAAGAAGGAUUUCGGUCGUAAACUUGUUGUAAGGGAAAGAACAGUCAUAGUACUGGUGUCCUUGACGGUCCUUAUUAGAAAGCCCGGUACUACGUGGCACGGCCGAUACCCUAGGAGGAAUUUGCCGGAAUAAUUGGCCAAAGUUCCCAGUGGGUUUUUAAACUUAAAGUGAAGCCACGGGUUAAACCCGAGGGAUUUGAAACUUGGGAAUUUGGGAAAAGGUUUUGGAGUCAAAAUCCGGAAGCUAGAUUUUGGGCCCC
RNAcentral lists this ribosomal RNA (617 nucleotides) under Lysinibacillus sphaericus. RNAcentral's name for it is "bacterial SSU rRNA". It matches the Rfam family "Bacterial small subunit ribosomal RNA", at positions 52 to 690 of the family's 1533-position model. The record is from RNAcentral. Lineage: Bacteria; Bacillati; Bacillota; Bacilli; Caryophanales; Bacillaceae.